GACGUAGGGUCCAAGCGUUGUCCGGAUUUACUGGGCGUAAAGAGCGCGUAGGCGGUCCGUUAAGUGUAGAGUGAAAGCUCCGGGCUCAACUCGGAAAUUGCUCUGCAUACUGGCGGACUCGAGGACGGAAGAGGUUUGUGGAAUUCCUGGUGUAGCGGUGAAAUGCGUAGAUAUCAGGAAGAACACCCGUGGCGAAAGCGGCUCUCUGGAACGGUACUGACGCUGAGACGCGAAAGCGUGGGGAGCGAACAGG
Molecule: ribosomal RNA, 253 nt
Filed under: uncultured bacterium
Lineage: Bacteria
Description: partial 16S ribosomal RNA
Rfam family: Bacterial small subunit ribosomal RNA
Source: RNAcentral